UACAGAGGUGGCAAGCGUUGUUCGGAAUUACUGGGCGUAAAGGGCGCGUAGGCGGUUUCGUAAGUCCUGUGUGAAAUCCCCCGGCUCAACUGGGGAACUGCACAGGAAACUGCGAGGCUUGAGUUCGGGAGAGGGAAGCGGAAUUCCAGGUGUAGCGGUGAAAUGCGUAGAUAUCUGGAGGAACACCGGUGGCGAAGGCGGCAUCCUGGACCGAGAUUGACGCUGAGGCGCGAAAGCCAGGGGAGCAAACGGG
RNAcentral lists this ribosomal RNA (253 nucleotides) under uncultured bacterium. Its description in RNAcentral is "partial 16S ribosomal RNA". It matches the Rfam family "Bacterial small subunit ribosomal RNA", at positions 524 to 776 of the family's 1533-position model. The record is from RNAcentral.